AGUCUAGGCGGUUUGGUAAGUGGGAUGUGAAAUGCCCCGGCUCACCCGGGGACCUGCAUCCCAAACUGCUGAGCUUGAGUACAGGAGAGGGUGGGGGAAUUCCAGGUGUAGCGGUGAAAUGCGUAGAUAUCUGGAGGAACACCGGUGGCGAAGGCGCCCACCUGGCCUGCUACUGACGCUGAAGCUCGAAAGCUAGGGAGCAAACG
This 206-nucleotide ribosomal RNA is filed under the name uncultured bacterium. RNAcentral describes it as "partial 16S ribosomal RNA". It matches the Rfam family "Bacterial small subunit ribosomal RNA", at positions 568 to 774 of the family's 1533-position model. The record is from RNAcentral.